GUUAUAGGGUCAAGCGAACAAGUGCAUGUGGUGGAUGCCUUGGCGAUCACAGGCGAUGAAGGACGCGGUAGCCUGCGAAAAGCUCCGGGGAGCUGGCAAACGAGCAUUGAUCCGGAGAUGUCCGAAUGGGGAAACCCACUCCUAAUGGAGUAUCCGUAGCUGAAUCCAUAGGCUACGUGAGGCGAACGCGGUGAACUGAAACAUCUAAGUAACCGCAGGAAAAGAAAUCAACCGAGAUUCCCAGAGUAGUGGCGAGCGAAAUGGGAUCAGCCGGUACACGUUAUCUGUAUUGUUAGUCGAACGCUCUGGAAAGUGCGGCCAUAGCAGGUGAUAGCCCUGUAGACGAAAACAGCAUGGAAGAACUGGGUGUACGAGAAGUAGGGCGGGACACGUGAAAUCCUGUCUGAAGAUGGGGGGACCAUCCUCCAAGGCUAAAUACUCGUGAUCGACCGAUAGUGAACCAGUACCGUGAGGGAAAGGCGAAAAGAACCCCGGGAGGGGAGUGAAACAGAUCCUGAAACCGCAUGCAUACAAACAGUCGGAGCCUCUGCGAAGGGGUGACGGCGUACCUUUUGUAUAAUGGGUCAGCGACUUACAUUCAGUGGCGAGCUUAACCGAUUAGGGCAGGCGUAGCGAAAGCGAGUCCGAACAGGGCGUCCAGUCGCUGGGUGUAGACCCGAAACCAGGUGAUCUAUCCAUGGCCAGGUUGAAGGCACGGUAACACGUGCUGGAGGACCGAACCCACUAACGUUGAAAAGUUAGGGGAUGAGCUGUGGAUAGGGGUGAAAGGCUAAACAAACCUGGAAAUAGCUGGUUCUCUCCGAAAACUAUUUAGGUAGUGCCUCGUGUAUCACCUUCGGGGGUAGAGCACUGUCAUGGUUGUGGGGUCCAUUGCGGAUUACUACGCCAUAGCAAACUCCGAAUACCGAAGAGUGCAAUCACGGGAGACAGACAUCGGGUGCUAACGUCCGGUGUCAAGAGGGAAACAACCCAGACCGCCAGCUAAGGUCCCCAAAUAUGGCUAAGUGGGAAACGAAGUGGGAAGGCUAAAACAGUCAGGAGGUUGGCUUAGAAGCAGCCACCCUUUAAAGAAAGCGUAAUAGCUCACUGAUCGAGUCGUCCUGCGCGGAAGAUGUAACGGGGCUAAGCCAUAUACCGAAGCUGCGGAUGCACAGUAAUGUGCAUGGUAGGAGAGCGUUCCGUAAGCCUGCGAAGGUGCACUGGAAAGUGUGCUGGAGGUAUCGGAAGUGCGAAUGCUGACAUGAGUAGCGAUAAAGGGGGUGAAAGGCCCCCUCGCCGUAAGCCCAAGGUUUCCUACGCAACGUUCAUCGGCGUAGGGUGAGUCGGCCCCUAAGGCGAGGCAGAAAUGCGUAGCUGAUGGGAAGCAGAUUAAUAUUUCUGCACCA
Molecule: ribosomal RNA, 1406 nt
Filed under: Paraburkholderia sp. 31.1
Lineage: Bacteria; Pseudomonadati; Pseudomonadota; Betaproteobacteria; Burkholderiales; Burkholderiaceae
Description: partial 23S ribosomal RNA
Rfam family: Bacterial large subunit ribosomal RNA
Source: RNAcentral